Molecule: ribosomal RNA, 115 nt
Organism: Pteropus vampyrus (large flying fox)
Lineage: Eukaryota; Metazoa; Chordata; Mammalia; Chiroptera; Pteropodidae
Source: Ensembl
UUACAUGCCCAUGCCACCCUGAACAAGCCCAGUGUCUGAUCUCAGAAGCUAAGUAGGUCGGGCCUGGUUAGUACUUGGAUAGGAGAUCACCUAGGAAGACCAGGUGCUAUAGGCA